Brassica napus (rape) is the source of this 954-nucleotide long non-coding RNA. RefSeq lists it as uncharacterized. The record is from RefSeq and is a predicted model, not a curated record. Lineage: Eukaryota; Viridiplantae; Streptophyta; Magnoliopsida; Brassicales; Brassicaceae. The transcript has 3 exons.
AAAUAAAUUAGAAGAAACGUUUAUUAAAUAAGGACAAAAAUAAACGUCUCUUAUGAAACACGUGUCUUCCAUCCUCUCCUUUUCUUUGCCUCUCGCCACUGUCAAUGCUUCGAUUCUCCCCUUCCUCUUGACUUCCGUCUUCUCUUUUUGCUGCAAGAGAAAGGAAAACAAAAAGGGUCAACAAGGAAUCUUGAAGUCUCCAGAAACAUCUAUCUCCUUUAUUCUCAUGGACCCAAUUUUCACAACGCCUCCAUCAGAAACCGCCGCUGUAAACGGUGGUUAGAGAAUGGGUUGACAGUGGACCCUUUUCUGGUCGAGGCUUUGCAAAACCCUCCAUUGUCCAACGAUUUGCCAUGUUUGUUGUGCAUAAGAUGCAUGAAAGAUACAUGUGUUCCACUCUGAACCUAAUGUUGGAGAAGGAGAAGAGAAUGGAGAUACCAGAGAAGCAGAGGAUGGAGAGAGAAGAAUCACUAGCAAGAGAACACAACUUGGAGUAUAAAGCAACUUUGAGACGAGCUGUAAUGUUAGAUGUUCCUCACGCUGACUCUAUCUCCUCUUAGUACGGAACAUUUGACAAAACUCAAGAAGAUGAAACCGAAGAACAAGAAACAGAGGAGGAAGAAAAGGAAGAAACGGAGUCGAUUGCAUCAAUGGUGGAGGAAUCAUCGUCGUCAUCCUCUGUACGUCCAUCGUACAAGAGAAGAAGGAAACGUGGUGUUAAGACCAUCGGUUAAAGACGGCGGUGUUCAUGGCAGUGAGAAGGUAAUCCUCAUGACUCCUAAAUUUUCUUGCUAUAUUGUAGAUUUGGCUUCAGAAUCUUUAACCUUUUUUAAGAACCCUUAAUUGAGUUCUUGCAUUGGAGCACUAAAACUAAUUGUCUCUUAACAAAAUUUCUUAUCUUAACUUUAUUAUUUAAAUAUUCAUUAAGAGACCCUAAUGGGUCUCCAUGGUUAA